Molecule: ribosomal RNA, 253 nt
Filed under: uncultured bacterium
Lineage: Bacteria
Description: partial 16S ribosomal RNA
Rfam family: Bacterial small subunit ribosomal RNA
Source: RNAcentral
UACGGGGGGGGCAAGCGUUGUUCGGAAUUACUGGGCGUAAAGGGCUCGUAGGUGGCCAACUAAGUCGGACGUGAAAUCCCUCAGCUUAACUGGGGAACUGCGUCCGAUACUGGAUGGCUUGAGUUUGGGAGAGGGAUGCGGAAUUCCAGGUGUAGCGGUGAAAUGCGUAGAUAUCUGGAGGAACACCGGUGGCGAAGGCGGCGAUCUGGGAAGAUACUGACGCUGAGGUGCGAAAGCGUGGGGAGCAAACAGG